This 198-nucleotide ribosomal RNA is filed under the name Triticum aestivum (bread wheat). Its description in RNAcentral is "partial small subunit ribosomal RNA". The record is from RNAcentral. Lineage: Eukaryota; Viridiplantae; Streptophyta; Magnoliopsida; Poales; Poaceae.
AUGAGCUCCCCCACAGGGCACCGCAAGGGGUUGGCCACCCUCGAAACCCUGACGGCCUGGUCCAUCUGGGAGCAGCGAAACCACUGCGUUUUUGACGGCGAGUCCCCCUCCGCCUCCCGGCUCCUUGAGCUUAUCCAGAGCGACGCACGCUCUUGAGCUAGGGCUGGAGCUCACGGUCUAAAUGCGUUGCUAGCAUAG